Molecule: long non-coding RNA, 1071 nt
Filed under: Carassius auratus (goldfish)
Lineage: Eukaryota; Metazoa; Chordata; Actinopteri; Cypriniformes; Cyprinidae
Description: lncRNA (ENSCARG00000026765.1)
Source: RNAcentral
CUUGAGACAUCUGCACUUAGUUCCAACUGUAGAUGAACACAAGAACGCAUCCUGUGUUAAAGGCUCCUUCAUAAGGUUCUAGUUCAAGUACAGUGCUGUUGUACAGUGUUUAGCCCAUAAUAAAUCUUCCCUGUGAGACUGCACUCCAUUAGAUCCAGAUCGGUCUCUUACAAAAGAGCUUGCCACUCUCUUGAGAAAACUAAUCUAAUUUUCGGAUCAAAAUAUAUUUAAUCUAUGAGUGAGUCUGGUAUGAAGGAAGUCAUUAGUCUUCUGUUCCCCAUUAUUCAAACACAUAUCCGACGUACAAAAUCUAAUGCAUUUCAAGUAGAUAUCCCUAAUUGAUGCUGGAAGCUUUAAACAUGAUCAGGAUCAGUUUUCUACUGUCACUCAAGCCUUUUAUCAUUAAGAUGUGUCUUCAUCACAUAAGAAUGUCAUCCUCACAAUCCUGGUAAUUGACAGCACCUGAAACCUCCCUUUCAUAGCUCUUUUUAGCAUGAGAUUUAUUUGAGCAAAUUAAGGCAAUCACCAUUUGAUUCCCACUUGGCACGCCAUAUUUUCCCCAGUGUCUUCAGACUUCACCCUCCCACAUUUAAACCUCUGAAACACUGUAAAGUUAAUUUAAUUUGUAUAAUCAGGGUGAUAAAAAUGUAUAAGGAAUAGACUGAACUCUUGAACUUGUUCUCUUUGCAGCGGACGGAGGCACAUUCAAUUCCACCGAAACUUUGCCACCUCAGCAAAACACUCCACGGAUCCUUGAUGAACAGAAUUUAAAGGAACAGCUUUCAUUAGAAAUAUUUUUGUCAAAUUAUAAUUUUGCUCAUAUUAAUGUACCCUUGCAGAAUAGAAGUAUGAACUUCUUUAAAAAAAAGUGGAAGUGUAUGUUUUCUUUGUUUUCAACCAUUUUAUUUGCUGUUUUUUUUUAUUCAAAUGAGCAUAAAUUGCAUAAUUUUAGUGUUCCAUGCUGACCCCAGUAUAGUGAGAGUAAUGCACUUGUAUUUGACACUCAUUUACACUAUUUAGAGAUGUAUUAUAUUUCUAAACUAUUUUAAACGGGAAAACAUUAUAUUAAAG